Long non-coding RNA from Herpailurus yagouaroundi (jaguarundi), 621 nucleotides. RefSeq lists it as uncharacterized. Lineage: Eukaryota; Metazoa; Chordata; Mammalia; Carnivora; Felidae. The transcript is spliced from 3 exons. The record is from RefSeq and is a predicted model, not a curated record.
AGAGGUAGACAGGCGGCAGACCUAUCAGGGACAAGGACCUUGAGGACAGCUCCCCUACCCCGCCUCAGCCCCCAGGAGGAGAGCAGUCGGAGAACGCCGGGCUCCUCGCCUCCCGGGCAGUGUGAGAAAGUAGUCUUCACCUGCCAGACCAGGUUCGCCUACCCACCUCGACGGGCUCCAUCCCAUCCACCGCCCCCGUGCUUGCGCUCCCUUCGCUCCUAGACUGUGGCUAUCCCUGUCACCCCCAGGCAGGCACCCGAGGAGCACUGCCACCUGGCGCCAGCACCCGAGGCCACCACAGCCCCAAGGAGGACUCCAGUCCCCUGGGAAGAGAAGCCAGGAGCAGACCAGCCACAGAAGAAAAGUGGACCUGCCAGCACCCUAGCCAGGAUCCAAGCUGCAUAUCGCGGCCAAACGUCCCCUGAGUGUGUGGGGGCCCGCAGGAGGGUCCCACUCCAGCAGGCCCCCAGGCCACCUUGUUGAGCCCCCACUGGAACCCGCUGGGGGCAGGCGCUGCCAUGGAGAAGCACAAAGAACCCUACUGCCCAGGGACAAGGACUGGCUCCACCUCCUAUAGGACAAGCUCCCAAGGACAAAGAAACCGGAGCAGGACGAGAUCUG